CGAGAGCCUCCCUGCGUUCACAAGUGCCGUUUGCUUUCUGUGAACACAGCUGGUGGUAUCUCAGU
This 65-nucleotide microRNA precursor is filed under the name Parasteatoda tepidariorum (common house spider). Its description in RNAcentral is "microRNA pte-mir-317 precursor". Its record names the gene pte-mir-317. Lineage: Eukaryota; Metazoa; Arthropoda; Arachnida; Araneae; Theridiidae. The record is from miRBase by way of RNAcentral.